UUGCACGCUGGCGGCAGGCCUAACACAUGCAAGUCGAGCGGAUGAAGGGAGCUUGCUCCUGGAUUCAGCGGCGGACGGGUGAGUAAUGCCUAGGAAUCUGCCUGGUAGUGGGGGAUAACGUCCGGAAACGGGCGCUAAUACCGCAUACGUCCUGAGGGAGAAAGUGGGGGAUCUUCGGACCUCACGCUAUCAGAUGAGCCUAGGUCGGAUUAGCUAGUUGGUGGGGUAAAGGCCUACCAAGGCGACGAUCCGUAACUGGUCUGAGAGGAUGAUCAGUCACACUGGAACUGAGACACGGUCCAGACUCCUACGGGAGGCAGCAGUGGGGUAUAUUGGACAAUGGGCGAAAGCCUGAUCCAGCCAUGCCGCGUGUGUGAAGAAGGUCUUCGGAUUGUAAAGCACUUUAAGUUGGGAGGAAGGGCAGUUAGUUAAUACCUUGCUGUUUUGACGUUACCAACAGAAUAAGCACCGGCUAACUUCGUG
RNAcentral lists this ribosomal RNA (483 nucleotides) under uncultured bacterium. RNAcentral describes it as "partial 16S ribosomal RNA". It matches the Rfam family "Bacterial small subunit ribosomal RNA", at positions 30 to 507 of the family's 1533-position model. The record is from RNAcentral.